AGAGUUUGAUCCUGGCUCAGGAUGAACGCUAGCUACAGGCUUAACACAUGCAAGUCGAGGGGAAACGAGUAUUGGAAGCUUGCUUCGAUAGGCGUCGACCGGCGCACGGGUGAGUAACGCGUAUCCAACCUGCCCACCACUUGGGGAUAACCUUGCGAAAGUAAGACUAAUACCCAAUGAUAUCUCUAGAAGACAUCUGAAAGAGAUUAAAGAUUUUAUCGGUGAUGGAUGGGGAUGCGUCUGAUUAGCUUGUUGGCGGGGUAACGGCCCACCAAGGCGACGAUCAGUAGGGGUUCUGAGAGGAAGGUCCCCCCACAUUGGAACUGAGACACGGUCCAAACUCCUACGGGAGGCAGCA
This 358-nucleotide ribosomal RNA is filed under the name uncultured bacterium. RNAcentral's name for it is "bacterial SSU rRNA". It matches the Rfam family "Bacterial small subunit ribosomal RNA", at positions 8 to 353 of the family's 1533-position model. The record is from RNAcentral.